Molecule: long non-coding RNA, 1199 nt
Organism: Numida meleagris (helmeted guineafowl)
Lineage: Eukaryota; Metazoa; Chordata; Aves; Galliformes; Numididae
Exons: 3
Source: RefSeq, a predicted model, not a curated record
CAGAAGCGGACUUGAGUUUGUUUUCUUUGCAUUUUAACUUCCUCCUUCAAGGAAAAUCUGCCUACAUGGAAGACUUUUGCCCUAUUACUUCACCAACCACACAUCUCUCUGUGUCCAAGUGUAUUUUCAGUCCUAAACUCCAUGGAGCCCAGGCUGUGCUGCACUGGCAGCCCCUCAUCACAUGCCUGAGACAGUGAAAAAACAGUGUUCUUGGGAGCAGAGGUGAGUUGCUCUGAUCAGGAACUUGCUGCUCCACUUGGUGUCUGUACAUACUCUGACAGCAUAGAAAUGGAGAGCCAAGGGAUGGGAAGGAACCAGAUCUGACAACUUAAGCAUCCAGAUGGAGGCCCUGGCUUUCCCCCAUCCCAUUCCUGAAGCAACAAUCUUUUGGACUUCGUCUGGGCGUCUUCUGGGCUUUUGAUCCUUGGACUUCAACUCCUUCCCAGCUGGGACCUGAGCCAGCGAGAGUGGAUGAGAAACACGUGCGAGAGGAACUGCAUGCUCAUUACUAUUUUGUUCUCUACUGAAUUAAGCAAGAAGUAGAUCCUAAAGCUCACCAUGCAAAAGCAGCUUUGAGAACAAUGGAGACAGCAACAUCAGUCAUUGUGCAUAUGUCCAAGUGUGCUGUAUGACAGAGAACUACUGCAUCACAUCCUUCCAACACAGGAUGCAGCACCACAUUGGAUGGCAGAGAAGGCAGAGUGCAAAAACUCAGAGAUCACAGCUGGUCUGACUGUCGUGUCCUACUAUGUCCCAUAUUAAUGUCAAUGCUUAUUGCAUUCAGUAGAGACACUGCUUGGUGUUUGUCUUUGCCAGAGCAUCUCAUGGUGUUUUUUUUUUUAUUUUAUUUUAUUUUGAUAGUGCUGUUCUGCUCCAGACCUGAUUUUCUCUCCUACUUUGGAAACUGCUAUGUAAGGGGGUUGACUAAUGCAUGCAAAAGGGGCAGAGGGAGCCUAGAGCUACCACUGGCAGCUGUGUGCUCAAGGGCAGGAGAUGGUAAUUUGAGAGAAGCAGGGAAAGUAAAUAAUCAUAAUAGGAAAUUUAAGAUCAGUCUGAAUAGGGAGUAAAUGAGAGUUUGGGUGUGGAACAUGAGGAGGGGUCACGUGUUUAUGGCACUGAAUUUAACAGCUCAUGAAGGACCAGUACAGGUUAGGGGAUGACCUGCUGGAGAGGAGCUCUACAGAGAGGGACCUGGGGAU